UUGAGUCUCGUAGAGGGGGGUAGAAUUCCAGGUGUAGCGGUGAAAUGCGUAGAGAUCUGGAGGAAUACCGGUGGCGAAGGCGGCCCCCUGGACGAAGACUGACGCUCAGGUGCGAAAGCGUGGGGAGCAAACAGGAUUAGAUACCCUGGUAGUCCACGCCGUAAACGAUGUCGACUUGGAGGUUGUGCCCUUGAGGCGUGGCUUCCGGAGCUAACGCGUUAAG
This 223-nucleotide ribosomal RNA is filed under the name Escherichia coli. RNAcentral's name for it is "partial 16S ribosomal RNA". It matches the Rfam family "Bacterial small subunit ribosomal RNA", at positions 642 to 864 of the family's 1533-position model. The record is from RNAcentral. Lineage: Bacteria; Pseudomonadati; Pseudomonadota; Gammaproteobacteria; Enterobacterales; Enterobacteriaceae.